Mercurialis annua (annual mercury) is the source of this 3150-nucleotide RNA transcript. It is a transcript of the gene named zinc finger protein CONSTANS-LIKE 13-like, with no coding region annotated. NCBI's taxonomy places the organism in Eukaryota, Viridiplantae, Streptophyta, Magnoliopsida, Malpighiales, Euphorbiaceae. The record is from RefSeq and is a predicted model, not a curated record. The transcript is spliced from 5 exons.
UUUCAUGUGCUACAAAUAUCUUCAUUAAUCCAAAUCAUAAAGAACAUAUCAUUUUUCCAAGUUCAGCAAUGGAGGAUUAUUCAAAAUCCGCUUCAAAAACCAGUUUGUUAUGCGAUUUUUGCAGCUCAAACGGUGCUGUUUUGUACUGUAGUGCUGAUUCUGCUAAGCUAUGUCUGUUCUGUGACCUAGAAGUUCACUCUGCUAAUGCUUUGUCUCUCAGUCAUUUCAGGUCACUUAACUGUGAUAACUGUGGAGCUCAACCAGCUUCAGUUCAAUGCUCAAGCACUGGUAAUAAUAGUAAUAUUAACGUUUUUUGUCAAGAUUGUGAAUCUCAUUCUGUGUCGUUUGUUAACCAAGCUCCUGUGUACGGGUUCACGGGUUGUCCUGAUGUAACUGAGCUUGGUGAGAUAUUUGGAUUUGAGUUAGAUUCUGAGUCUUGUUUGCAUGAUCAAGAACUGGUAAACAUGCAAGAUUCGGUGGUUCCGAGUGGGGUUUCGUCUGUUUUUUUGAGGUCUGGUGGGAAGUGUAGGCGAGAGAUGUGUAAGCAGUUGGUGGAGUUGGGUAAGAGGGAUAUGGUGGCGGAUAUGGGGCCGGAGACACCGCCGAGUAGAUGUGCGCAGAGCGGAAAAUUUGAGGGUAUGGAAAUGGAGAAUGGAAACGAGGAAGGUUUUUUUGACCGGAAAAUGGCGUUUACUUCGUUGCUUAUGUUUCCGGAUCUUGAAGUUAGGGGAGAUUGUGACGGUGUAGCUGAUGGAGAUCUUUUAUGGGACUGUAAUCCUUCAUAUCAGGGUGCUCAGGUAUGGGAUUUUGAAUAUGAAAAAACAAAACAUUGUCCAGAACCUAAUUCACAAGAGGUGGGCCGUGAUACAACUGAUCCCGGUUUUAAAAUCAAGAAUCAUCGCAGCCGUAAAACAGCUGCCUUCAAUAUAAUAGAAGUGUUGGAUGAUGCAAAUUCAAUGAGCUGCUCUACAACACUAUCUGAUGAUGCACUUUUAAGAAAUAGCUCCUCCAAUCAACAAUUUUCGAAGAAUGCAAAAGCCGAAGAAAGUACAUCAUCAGAAUCCCUACUGAUUGAGGCCAAAAUAAGCGAUAGCCCGAGACUUGUUCAGGUGGUGGAGAACCCUUAUCAUGAUACGACCGAUAUGGAAAUUUUUGCACAAAACAGAGGCAAUGCAAUGUUGCGUUACAUGGAGAAGAAAAAAAACAGAAGAUAUGAUAAGCACAUACGCUACGAAUCAAGGAAGGCGAGAGCUGAUACAAGGGAGCGGGUAAAAGGUCGGUUUGUGAAGGCAAGUGAAAAUUAGUGAAAGUUCUUAAUUAAUGUUCAUAUGUUUAUUAUUGUGAUAGUAAAGUCUCAUAACAAUAUUUGUCCUGUAUUCACUAUAUGUAAUAUUUGCAACAAAUCUGUAAACAAGAAUGUAUUUCCCUGGAUUAGUACAAAUGUACUCCUUGAUCUUUAGUAAAGGCGGAAUUAGCCAAAAAGUAUUUUUUUUCCGGAAAGUCUCUACAGUCGUUUUAUACCUCGUUGGGAGUCGCUCUCUCAGACUUCUAGUAGUCUCUGACUUGGUCUUCGAAUUUUAAAUUUCAGGCCCAUCCUAUAGUUUCCCUCGCUUUCGGGCUGGCCCUUCUACUUGACUAAAUAGUACGCCAUUCGCGCACAUGGUGAUGAUUGGCUAUGAGAUACUCAACCUCAUUUUUAGUAAGUAGGUUCGCCUACAACAUCCGGUGAUGCCCUCGCGGGCAUGUUCCUCUCUAGACUCUAGGUCAAUAUGGUCUAAUUGAAGUCAACUGACUAACAUGGAAUACAGGGUGACUUUUCACCAAGCUGAUCGCUUUGGUCUAAAGGCUAAUUGUAUAUACCUAUUUAGUUGCUGAUAUAAGAAACAAGCAUAAAUCAGGGCAGUUAAAUUCAUAGUUACUAAUGGUUUAUGGUUUUACAAACUCUAUAGAAUGGCUUGCUGUGAAAACUAAUUCAGUUUACUUGCUUAAAAACUAAGUAACAAAAAAGGUCUAUUCUUCCAAAAACUGUGGAAGUAGAAGGAUGGGAAAGACAAAACUUCAAUAAAUAUUUAUAAAAGUAACUUAAUUAUUUAUGGAGGUGAAGUGAAGGAGUGACUGGAGAAGUUUGACCUUGGAAAAAGAGUAGAAUACAUAUCCCCUAAUUUCUCCAUUCUUGUACAGUUUUGCAGUGUAAUGUGUAAAUGCAGCAUGGACAAGUAUAAAUGUUUCAUCACCUACUCAACUUUAAUUCAGUUUCAAGUUGAAUCUCAUUCUUAUAGAUAAUCAUUUUUUUAUAGAUUUAAUCUUGAUCUUGCAACACUACACGUGCAAGGAUCACAACUGGCUAUUCUUUAUUUAGCUCAAUUUUACUCUAGAAUUGAAUCAUUUUAUUUAUUAUAUGGAUAUAGAAAUAAAAAAAUAAAACUUAUUCCAAACACGUUCAGAAUGGUCUGAAAUCUGAAUCAUACUCUUCACUCAUGACACUACUAAAAGCAGAGAUGGUUUUAUACUCCUCAAGAUUAGGCCAUAACCUGUCUCUGAUAAUAAACUAUAAAAUUUGCAUAGCAGGAAUAUGCUUAUUAUUAUAAUCUUUUGUAAGUAAUGUAACCCGAUUAUAUUAUACAACUUGUCGAAUAAUACGUUUUAAUAGUAUUUCAUUUUCAUUUUCAAAAAUACUUAAAAAAAACUCUUAAAUCCAUAUAUUUUUAUAAAAAAUGGAGUUUCUCUAUUUUUUAUUUCGGUAUUUUUGUUUCCGUGCUAUGUAUUAACUCCGUAUUCAGGACCUGCUAAACUUGAAAACUAAGCAAAGAGUAUGCAAAACCUCAGAUAAUUACUCUAGUUGACAGUUGGACAGGUACAAUUGGCUGAAGAACAUGGACUAUUGAACUAAUUAUUCAUGAACCAGGCUGUCCUGUAACAAGGUGGUGAAUUCAUUCUGCAGAGAGUCAGCUGGCUAUAUUUAUUACAAACCCUCUGCGUGAUUGGUGGCACAUCACAGGCUUCUGCAUCUAACUCCAAACCAAUCUGCAUACUCAAUUUGAAUCCUAAAUUCUAUUUUUACAAUUUAUUCUUUGUAAAAAAUAUAAGAAUGGUUUUGUCGUUUCUCGUUUCGUUAUUUUUUUAUUACAAAGUUUCUGUUUACGUGCUACA